Molecule: RNA transcript, 4496 nt
Organism: Myxocyprinus asiaticus (Chinese sucker)
Lineage: Eukaryota; Metazoa; Chordata; Actinopteri; Cypriniformes; Catostomidae
Gene name: high mobility group protein HMG-I/HMG-Y-like
Exons: 9
Source: RefSeq, a predicted model, not a curated record
CAACAACAACAAGAAGAAGCCAAUCACUGUUAAACUCGAUAAGAAUAAGACGGCUGCUAUUCUCGAGCUCGCUCUAAUCACAUCUGUUCUGUAUAUCCGUUCGCAACGGACAGUGUUCACUUCUUCGUUUGACAUCCGUAGACGUCUUUUUGCGUUGGAUUUAGACUGCGCUUUAUUGGUUGACCGACGAUUGCGCUCGAAUUCAAACAGGAGACAUUGUGCACGCGGAGGUGUGGCCACAGAAAACACAGCGCGUGCAUAACAUUCUUCGCUCUUCUGUAUAAGUGCAUGUAAGUGAAUGCUUUUUCCUCUCGUGAAAGAUUGCACAAGGGCUGUAAUGUUCAUUUGCACGUCGUUCAAUAUGAAGGUAAAGACUGUGCACUGUAUGGUUCCCAUGAAGAUAUACGUUGCAUAAGCUAGUGAGCGCCUCGCCUUUGCAACAACACCUACACUUAUUUGCCAAAGCACAAUCCGAUCUGAAAAGAUAAUAUACAGAAAUGAAAUACAACUGCGAAUUUACACUGAAACAAAACAUUAUGACCACUCACAGGUGAUGUGCGAAUAACGUUGAUCAUCUCCUAACAAGGCCACGUGUCAAGGUUUGGGUAGAUAAGAUGGAAAGCGAACAAUCAGUUCUUGUAAAUGAAGAAGAAAUGGACAUGGGUGAAGACCUGAGCGACUUUGACAAGGGCCAAAUUGUCAUGGCCAGACGACUGGGUCUGAGCAUCUCUGAUACGGCAAGGCUUGUGGGGUGCUCCCGGUCAGCAGUGGAAGCAAGUGGAUCGCCAACUCCAGAAAAACAAAGAGUACGACCAAAGAGUAGCAGAAAUAAAGGACCUUCCAAGAGAAAAGCAUCGGCUGGAGGAAAACCGAAGGGAAGGCCUAAGAAAGAGUGAUGUUAGACGCUGUACUGCCAUCUAUCGAUGUGGAUCAGCAUGAUCGUCUCUGCUGCCCCCAUCAACUUUGGAAUAUCAUUUGCAUCUGGAAAAGGUUUGAGGAGAAGGAAAAACAGGCACCUCAGGACUCGUCUGAGGACGCUGAAGAUGACGAGGAAGAACAGUAAUUAUAUCUUACCGGAGCACUACCUCACACAACCAAACAAACUGCCCGUCUGCUCUUCAACAUGUGAAUCGCAGGGAAUGUCAUUUCACAAAAGGACAGUAAUAACUGUAAAGGAAAUAUUCUGCAUAAAUAUAUAAUGCGUUUUAUGUAAGUAGGUCAAAUAAAGAAACCAGAGUCAACCUACAUGAGAAAAUGUGUUUUUAGUAUUUAGUUUACUAAAAGUAUAUAUCUAUUGAACUAAAAUGCUUAACUACUUAUGUUUUGUUUGCAGCUUUGUUUUGUAUUUUAUCCAUGUUGUUGACUAGCUAUAAUUUAACUCAUAUGCUGUCUUUAAAAUUGUUUUAACCUAAUUUGGUCUUCCCGGUCAAAAAUGACCGGCCUGUUACAAAUGGCUUGUAAAUCUAAUUUUGCUAUUUUAUCACCAAAUAUCAGAUUACAUCUUUUUGUCAACUCGUUUUUAUUUCAAUUAGCACAGGCUUUGUACUUCUAUCUGCAACUUAUUGACUGUAGACCUCCUUGACCUGAGCUUAUGCACCUCCGUUUUGCCGGUUAAUUUGUAUUAGGAAUCAUAUGUCUGUCACAGUGACACUAUUGGUAAAUUUUGACGAAUUGUCCAAUUUUUAAGACAUUUUUGACACCAGCUAGGUGUUGCUGUUACAAAUUGCAGCGAAACUGAACUAUAAAUGUACUUAUUUGGUGUUUUGUGCUAAAUGAGACAUUCCAAAUAAUUCAUGUUUGGGAACUACACUGAUCAGCCACAACAUUAAAACCACUGACAAUGGGGUUUGUGGUUUGUCCCUCCUUGGGCCACUGUCGGUAGGUACUCGCCACUGCUAACCGGGAGCACCCCACAAGCCUUGCUGUUUCAGAGAUGCUCUGACUCAUUCGUCUUUCCAUAACAACUUGGCCCUUGUCAAAGUCACUCAGGUCUUUACUCCUGCCCAUUUCUCCUGUAUUUAACAUGUUGCCUAUAGGAACUGAUUGCUCGCUCACCAUCUAAUCUACCCAGACUUAUGGCCUUGUUAGGAGAUGAUCAAUGAUAUUCGCUUCACCUGUAAGUGGUCGAUGUUUUGACUCAUCAGUGUAUAUCUCACCUGAGGUAUGAGGUUUUUCUGAAAUGUCUUUAGCUUGGCUUUCUUUCUGCCAUUCUUGGUCACCACAGUCUCCUCAUAGAACUCAUUAGCCAGAUCUCCAUCUUCAUCAAAAUACAAGGAACUGCAAAUGACCCAACUUAACCAUGGUAAAAUAUGACCUAAUUCAAGUAACUCUAAAUCUGCAAAACCAGAACAUUGAUCUAAAAGUCAACAUUAAAUGACAUUUGUAAUUUGCAAUCCAUUUUACUUCCGUAAUGUGACAUUUCCAAGUGAAAAAAAUGGAGGACAAGAUUUGAUUGGUUACGUUGAUUAAUACAGGGGUUUUCUGGCCGGGAUAUAUUGGCGAGUAUUGACGCUGACUACCACCCCUGGAGUCACGAGUUCGAAUCCAGGGCGUGAUGAGUGACUCCAGCCAGGUCUCCUAAGCUACCAAAUUGGCCCGGUUGCAAUGACCUCCUCAUGGUCGCGAUUGGGGGUACACUAUCUAAAAGGGGCAUGUGGAGCCUCCACAUGCUGCGAGUCUCCGCGGUGUCAUGCACAGCGAGACACGUGAUGAGAUGCGCGGAUUGACUGUCUCAGAAGUGGAGGCAACUGAGACUUGUCCUACUCCACCCAGAUUGAGCUUGGGAACAUGAGUGAUUCAGAGAAACAAACUGUCUCCCUUAAAAACAAGGAUGGAGUGGAGAAAAGGGGUCGAGGGAGACCAAGAAAACAUCCAAAGGAAGCAAGUGGAUCGCCAACUCCAAAAAAACCAAGAGGACGACCAAAGGGUAGCAGAAAUAAAGGACCUUCCAAGAGAAAAGCAUCGGCUGGAGGAAAACCGAAGGGAAGGCCUAAGAAAGAGGAGAAGGUAAAACAGGCACCUCAGGACUCGUCUGAGGACGCUGAAGAAGAUGAGGAGGAAGAACAGUAAUUAUAUCUUACCGGAGCACUACCUCACACAACCAAACAAACUGCCCGUCUGCUCUCCAACAUGUGAAUCGCAGGGAAUGUCAUUUCACAAAAGGACAGUAAUAACUGUAAAGGAAAUAUUCUGCAUAAAUACAUAAUGCGUUUUAUGUAAGUAGGUCAAAUAUAGAAACCAGAAUCAACCUACAUGAGAAAAUGUUGAGUGUUAUUAGUAUUUAUUUUAUUACAUAUAUAUCUGUUGAACUGAGGUGCUUUACUACGUUUUGUUUGUAGAUUUGUUUUGUAUUUUGUCCAUUUUGUUGACUAGCUAUAAUUUAAAUGAUGGGCUCAAUAGUUCUCAUAGAAUACAUUAUUUUUUUGAAUGUAGCUGUUUACAGUUUACUAGUUCAAUUAGCUUUUUAUUAGAUGUUCCAUCUUACUAUACAACUGUCAGUGAAUAUUUCUUAAAGCAGGUUCUUGUAUUUUGUAGUCCUGUAUAGGUAACCCAGGCCUGGUGUUGAGGGAAUAAAUAUAUUUAACUUAAAAUACCAUUGUAAUUACCACUUGAAACCCCAGGAAUCGGCAUAACAAAGGUCUGUCACAAUGACACUACAGAAGUUAAUGGAAAUGUUGGUAAAUUUUAAAGAAUUGUCCAAUUUUUAAGCCAUUCUUAAUACCUGCCAGGUGUUGCUGGUACAAAUUGCCGUGAAACUGAACUAUAAAUGUACUUUUUGGUGUUUUGUGCUAAAUGAGACAUUACAAAUAAUCAUGUUUGGGAACUAUAUCCUAUAAUUAUAUUAAUUGUACCCAAAUCUAACAUUUCUGCCCCAAGCUUUUUUUUAAAUGGUUACUUUUCCAAUGAAAGCAGAAGGGUUUGGUGGAUGAAAACAUGAUGAAAAAAGCAGAAAUAACUCGUCAACCUAAAUAAUUAGCUAAAAAGCAUUGCAUACAGUAUAAUUCCUCAAGGUUAUCCACACACCCAAGUGCUUUUGGAAUACUUAUUUCUAAAUUAUUUAAACCACUUGCCUGUGUUUAUUUAAAUCACAACAUUUAGAAGCUGAAGGAUGUUCUCAAAGGUUGUUUAGACCCUUGUGUCUUGAGUUAUAAGACUAUUACAUAUGAAGAAAUGCAACCUAAAGCUUAGCCAAGUUGUCCUUAAAACACUGUGCAUUCAGAUCCUCAUAACUUCAGAAUUAUAUUCGCCUCAGGUAUUAUGGUGUCGUGAUCAGACAGCAAAAGCCCAAGAAAAUGUUCAUUUCCUCAGUAGUAAAAAUACCCUUUAUCCUGCAGUGAUUGUUCGUGAAUAGCAGUAGAAUAGCCUACAUGUAGGCAUACUGUAUGUGGGAUUUUGUUAAUGCAACAUUAGAGUUCCUUAAUGUGUAUUAGAUUUAUUGACUAUUCAUUUGUGUGUGUAAUGUGUGUUGAUCCUAAUAAAAAUACUUUUGCAAAAUA